Molecule: ribosomal RNA, 468 nt
Filed under: uncultured bacterium
Lineage: Bacteria
Description: partial 16S ribosomal RNA
Rfam family: Bacterial small subunit ribosomal RNA
Source: RNAcentral
GACGAACGCUGGCGGCGUGCUUAACACAUGCAAGUCGAACGGAAAGGCCCUGCUUUUGUGGGGUGCUCGAGCGGCGAACGGGUGAGUAACACGUGAGUAACCUGCCCUUGACUUUGGGAUAACUUCAGGAAACUGUGGCUAAUACCGGAUAGGAGCUCCUGCUGCAUGGUGGGGGUUGGAAAGUUUCGGCGGUUGGGGAUGGACUCGCGGCUUAUCAGCUUGUUGGUGGGGUAGUGGCUUACCAAGGCUUUGACGGGUAGCCGGCCUGAGAGGGUGACCGGCCACAUUGGGACUGAGAUACGGCACAGACUCCUACGGGAGGCAGCAAUGGGGAAUAUUGCACAAUGGGCGGAAGCCUGAUGCAGCAACGCCGCGUGCGGGAUGACGGCCUUCGGGUUGUAAACCGCUUUCGCCUGUGACGAAGCGUGAGUGACGGUAAUGGGUAAAGAAGCACCGGCUAACUACGUG